RNAcentral lists this ribosomal RNA (371 nucleotides) under uncultured Azospira sp. RNAcentral describes it as "bacterial SSU rRNA". It matches the Rfam family "Bacterial small subunit ribosomal RNA", at positions 1011 to 1382 of the family's 1533-position model. The record is from RNAcentral. Lineage: Bacteria; Pseudomonadati; Pseudomonadota; Betaproteobacteria; Rhodocyclales; Rhodocyclaceae.
GGAGUGCUCGCAAGAGAACCGGAACACAGGUGCUGCAUGGCUGUCGUCAGCUCGUGUCGUGAGAUGUUGGUUAAGUCCCGCAACGAGCGCAACCCUUGUCAUUAGUUGCCAUCAUUUGGUUGGGCACUCUAAUGAGACUGCCGGUGACAAACCGGAGGAAGGUGGGGAUGACGUCAAGUCCUCAUGGCCCUUAUGGGUAGGGCUUCACACGUCAUACAAUGGUCGGUACAGAGGGUUGCCAACCCGCGAGGGGGAGCUAAUCCCACAAAGCCGAUCGUAGUCCGGAUCGCAGUCUGCAACUCGACUGCGUGAAGUCGGAAUCGCUAGUAAUCGUGGAUCAGCAUGUCACGGUGAAUACGUUCCCGGGUCUU